This 253-nucleotide ribosomal RNA is filed under the name uncultured Planctomyces sp. Its description in RNAcentral is "partial 16S ribosomal RNA". It matches the Rfam family "Bacterial small subunit ribosomal RNA", at positions 524 to 776 of the family's 1533-position model. Lineage: Bacteria; Pseudomonadati; Planctomycetota; Planctomycetia; Planctomycetales; Planctomycetaceae. The record is from RNAcentral.
UACGAACUGUGCGAACGUUAUUCGGAAUCACUGGGCUUACAGGGUGCGUAGGCGGCCUGCUAAGUAGGGUGUGAAAGCCCCCGGCUCAACCGGGGAAUGGCGCCCUAAACUGGCGGGCUCGAGUGAGAUAGGGGUGUGUGGAACUUUCGGUGGAGCGGUGAAAUGUGUUGAUAUCGAGAGGAACGCCGGUGGCGAAAGCGACACACUGGGUCUUGUCUGACGCUGAGGCACGAAAGCCAGGGGAGCGAACGGG